AGCGGCAGGCUUAACACAUGCAAGUCGAGGGGCAGCACGGGUAGCAAUACCUGGUGGCGACCGGCGCAAGGGUGCGUAACGCGUGAGCAACAUGCCCUAUACAGGGGGAUAAUCCAGGGAAACUUGGUCUAAUAUCCCAUAGUAUUUAGAGGAGGCAUCUUCUAUAAAUUAAAGCUUCGGUGGUAUAGGAUUGGCUCGCGUGACAUUAGCUAGAUGGUGAGGUAACGGCUCACCAUGGCAAUGAUGUCUAGGGGUUCUGAGAGGAAGGCCCCCCACACUGGGACUGAGACACGGCCCAGACUCCUACGGGAGGCAGCAGUGAGGAAUAUUGGACAAUGGAUGGAAAUCUGAUCCAGCCAUGCCGCGUGCAGGAAGACAGCCCUAUGGGUUGUAAACUGCUUUUAUAUGGGAGCAAUAAGGUCUACGUGUAGACUGAUGAGAGUACCAUAUGAAUAAGCAUCGGCUAACUCCGUG
Molecule: ribosomal RNA, 474 nt
Filed under: uncultured bacterium
Lineage: Bacteria
Description: bacterial SSU rRNA
Rfam family: Bacterial small subunit ribosomal RNA
Source: RNAcentral